Molecule: ribosomal RNA, 439 nt
Filed under: uncultured bacterium
Lineage: Bacteria
Description: partial 16S ribosomal RNA
Rfam family: Bacterial small subunit ribosomal RNA
Source: RNAcentral
CUACGGGACGCUCCAGUGGGGAAUAUUGCACAAUGGAGGAAACUCUGAUGCAGCAACGCCGCGUGGAGGAUGACACAUUUCGGUGCGUAAACUCCUUUUAUAUAGGAAGAUAAUGACGGUACUAUAUGAAUAAGCGCCGGCUAACUCCGUGCCAGCAGCCGCGGUAAUACGGAGGGCGCAAGCGUUACUCGGAAUCACUGGGCGUAAAGAGCGUGUAGGCGGAUAGAUAAGUCAGGAGUGAAAUCCUAUGGCUCAACCAUAGAACUGCUCUUGAAACUGUCUAUCUAGAGUGUGGGAGAGGUAGAUGGAAUUUCUGGUGUAGGGGUAAAAUCCGUAGAGAUCAGAAGGAAUACCGAGUGCGAAGGCGAUCUACUGGAACAUAACUGACGCUGAGACGCGAAAGCGUGGGGAGCAAACAGGAUUAGAUACCCUCGUAGUC